Bos taurus (domestic cattle) is the source of this 73-nucleotide non-coding RNA. NCBI's taxonomy places the organism in Eukaryota, Metazoa, Chordata, Mammalia, Artiodactyla, Bovidae. The record is from Rfam.
UCCCUGGCAGUCCAAUGGUUAUGACUCUGCACUUCUAAUGCAGGGGUCACAGGUUUGAUCCCUGGUCAAGGAA